RNAcentral lists this long non-coding RNA (892 nucleotides) under Olea europaea subsp. europaea. Lineage: Eukaryota; Viridiplantae; Streptophyta; Magnoliopsida; Lamiales; Oleaceae. The record is from RNAcentral.
AAAAUAGCGAUAUUUAAUAGUCUUUUGGCUAAAUAUAUUCCUAAAUUGUUGUUUUUAUGUUUAAUAGGUGGAUUUCUACGAAUAAAAAGGAAUGAAAGGGAAGAAGCAAAAACAGGCGGAAAUAGCAAAAUCCCAAGUACGUGGAUUAAAUUGGCCAUUGGAUACAAUUUUUGGGAAUCAAAGUCUAACUAUAAAAAUUGGACUGAUUUGCAUCGCUUCAAAAAUUGAGUACUGGGAUAAAAAUAAUUGAUUAAAUGGCCUUCAAUUGGACUGGCCUUGGAAUUCAAAUUUAAUACUAUGUUGGACUCCAAAUUAGACUAGAAAAAAAGGGCUUCAUGCGGCUGAUUUCACAUAUAUAUAAUGACAUUCUGGCAAAAAGACGAGAGAGUAGCCUGGGGAAAAUAGAGACUUAUACAUUGUCGGCCGCUGAAUUUAUAGAGAUCCAAAAAUUACAAGAGGCGGCAGUUGGAGGGAUUCAGAUACAUAGAGCUGUUGGUUGGAAUUAUAUAUAUAUCUGUGCACACAAUUUGAGGCCAAAAACAGCCAAUAAUAUACAAUUGACACACAUAUUUGGGGCUACCCAGGGAUUGAGAAAACGAGAAGAGUUGCAGCUGGCUUAUUAUCUAUUUAUACAAAUACAUUGGCAGCAGCUUUGGAGGGCCAAUUUAAUAUAUUGAUACGCACAGAAACCAAAGCCAGGUGAAGGAGGUGGCUGCUUUGGCAUUCAAUUCAUAAUACACGCACAAGAAAACGGGCUGUCCACUGCUAGAACUAUUAUAUAUACGCGCAGACAAAAAUUUGGAAGAAGAGGCAGAACAUACACGCACAACAGGAGCUGGAAUUGAAGGAAAAAAAUCACGCAAAAAAAGAUUGGCUCAUAACUGGAAUCAAU